Dermacentor albipictus is the source of this 658-nucleotide non-coding RNA. NCBI's taxonomy places the organism in Eukaryota, Metazoa, Arthropoda, Arachnida, Ixodida, Ixodidae. The record is from RefSeq and is a predicted model, not a curated record.
UACAGCUUAAAGCUGUGCGCAGCUUCACAGUCGUCAAGGGAUGGCGCCCCGCAGCCCAUCAUCGUCGAUGGCUUCGACAUAAUGGCUCUCAACUGGUGGUCCAAUUUCCUCUCCCGGAAGGACCAUUAAACGGCACUGCCCGGGGCUGCGCUACGUACGCUUCGGCUGCUGGCUUCACUCCGCAUACGGACCGCUCAGCGCGUGUGAAAGCUCGCCAGCCAACCAAAGAUGUGCGGCGCCACCCACAGCGUUGCCUAUUCACUCGACGACGAAUCAAUCGGGCAUUGAGCCGGCGACGGGUGCCCGUGUGGUCGAUACGGCUCGCAAAGGAAGAAAGAGAGAGAGAGAAAAAAAAACGGCAGACAAUAAAAGGUCGAUGGCCAGCUGUCACAGCGAUUUAUGAAGACGGUGCUGCUUUCCGCCGGAGCAGAGAAAGCAAAAAAGCGCGCAGCUUCGGGAUCGACGCCGAAAUGUCACGGCGGGAAUUGGUCCCGUCAGCAUGUCUUUGUCCGCCUAUGUGACGUGAAGAAAAGCCCGGCCACACUACAGACUGUGAAGUGCGGUUUAAUUAAUAGGGGCUUAGCGAAUAGUAGAUUUUUUUUUUACACCGAAUAGAAUACUUUUUGGGCAGCUUUAAAAUAAAACUUUUUUUUUUCAA